This 402-nucleotide ribosomal RNA is filed under the name bacterium. RNAcentral describes it as "partial 16S ribosomal RNA". It matches the Rfam family "Bacterial small subunit ribosomal RNA", at positions 355 to 776 of the family's 1533-position model. The record is from RNAcentral.
UGGGGAAUUUUGCACAAUGGGGGAAACCCUGAUGCAGCGACGCCGCGUGAUUUAGAAGGCCUUCGGGUUGUAAAAAUCUUUUCUAUGGGAAGAAAAUGACAGUACCAUAGGAAUAAGGACCGGCUAAUUACGUGCCAGCAGCCGCGGUAAUACGUAAGGUCCGAGCGUUGUCCGGAAUCAAUGGGCGUAAAGGGUACGUAGGCGGGUAAGCAAGUUAGAAGUGAAAUCCUAUAGCUCAACUAUAGUAAGCUUUUAAAACUGCUCAUCUUGAGGUAUGGAAGGGAAAGUGGAAUUCCUAGUGUAGCGGUGAAAUGCGCAGAUAUUAGGAGGAAUACCGGUGGCGAAGGCGACUUUCUGGCCAUAACCUGACGCUGAGGUACGAAAGCGUGGGUAGCAAACAGG